This 101-nucleotide transfer RNA is filed under the name Caenorhabditis elegans. RNAcentral describes it as "Unclassified non-coding RNA Y73B6BL.283". The record is from RNAcentral. Lineage: Eukaryota; Metazoa; Nematoda; Chromadorea; Rhabditida; Rhabditidae.
AUUAUGCAAAACAACAAAACAAAACUAGGUCCUGGCCGGGUUCGAACCGGCGACCUUCUGCGUGUGAAGCAGACGUGAUAACCACUACACCACAGGACCGC